This 508-nucleotide ribosomal RNA is filed under the name uncultured Glomeraceae. RNAcentral's name for it is "SSU rRNA". It matches the Rfam family "Eukaryotic small subunit ribosomal RNA", at positions 569 to 1078 of the family's 1831-position model. The record is from RNAcentral. Lineage: Eukaryota; Fungi; Glomeromycota; Glomeromycetes; Glomerales; Glomeraceae.
AGCAGCCGCGGUAAUUCCAGCUCCAAUAGCGUAUAUUAAAGUUGUUGCAAGUUAAAAAGCUCGUAGUUGAAUUUCGGAAUCGACGGAUUGGUCGCGCCUUCGGUGUGUACUGGUCUUGCCGGUUUCUCCCUUCUGACGAACCACGAUGUCAUUAAUUUGGUGUCGUGGGGAAUCAGGACUGUUACUUUGAAAAAUUAGAGUGUUUAAAGCAGGCAUUAGCUUGAAUACAUUAGCAUGGAAUAAUGAAAUAGGACGUUUGAUCUUAUUUUGUUGGUUUCUAGGAUCGACGUAAUGAUUAAUAGGGAUAGUUGGGGGCAUUAGUAUUCAAUUGUCAGAGGUGAAAUUCUUGGAUUUAUUGAAGACUAACUACUGCGAAAGCACUUGCCAAGGAUGUUUUCAUUAAUCAAGAACGAAAGUUAGGGGAUCGAAGACGAUCAGAUACCGUCGUAGCCUUAACCAUAAACUAUGCCGACUAGGGAUCGGAUGAUGUUAAUUUUUAAUGUACUCA